GUGGGGAAUAUUGCGCAAUGGACGAAAGUCUGACGCAGCGACGCCGCGUGAGUGAUGAAGGCCUUAGGGUCGUAAAGCUCUGUUGAAUGGGAAGAAAAAAAUGACGGUACCAUUCGAGGAAGGACCGGCUAACUUCGUGCCAGCAGCCGCGGUAAUACGAGGGGUCCUAGCGUUGUUCGGAAUCAUUGGGCGUAAAGGGUGUGUAGGUGGCCAUGUAAGUCAGGUGUGAAAGCCCCGGGCUCAACCCGGGAAGUGCACUUGAUACUGCGUGGCUUGAGUACCGAAGAGGGUAGUGGAAUUCCAGGUGUAGUGGUGAAAUACGUAGAUAUCUGGAGGAACACCGGUGGCGAAGGCGGCUACCUGGUCGAGUACUGACACUGAGACACGAAAGCAUGGGGAUCAAACAGGAUUAGAAACCCGAGUAGUCC
This 428-nucleotide ribosomal RNA is filed under the name uncultured bacterium. Its description in RNAcentral is "partial 16S ribosomal RNA". It matches the Rfam family "Bacterial small subunit ribosomal RNA", at positions 354 to 796 of the family's 1533-position model. The record is from RNAcentral.